UACGUAGGGUGCGAGCGUUGUCCGGAAUUAUUGGGCGUAAAGAGCUCGUAGGCGGUCAGUCGCGUCUGCUGUGAAAACUCGGGGCUUAACUCCGGGCCUGCAGUGGGUACGGGCUGACUAGAGUGCGGUAGGGGAGACUGGAAUUCCUGGUGUAGCGGUGAAAUGCGCAGAUAUCAGGAGGAACACCGAUGGCGAAGGCAGUGGGCUGGGCCGGCACUGACGCUGAGGAGCGAAAGCGUGGGGAGCGAACAGG
RNAcentral lists this ribosomal RNA (253 nucleotides) under uncultured bacterium. Its description in RNAcentral is "partial 16S ribosomal RNA". It matches the Rfam family "Bacterial small subunit ribosomal RNA", at positions 524 to 776 of the family's 1533-position model. The record is from RNAcentral.